RNAcentral lists this transfer RNA (76 nucleotides) under Patescibacteria group bacterium. RNAcentral describes it as "tRNA-Cys". It matches the Rfam family "tRNA". Rfam says of the family: Transfer RNA (tRNA) molecules are approximately 80 nucleotides in length. Their secondary structure includes four short double-helical elements and three loops (D, anti-codon, and T loops). RNAcentral also lists the same sequence under 1 other name. The record is from RNAcentral.
GGUCACGUAGCCAAGUAGCUAAGGCGAGGGUCUGCAAAACCCUUAUUCGUGGGUGCAAUUCCCACCGUGACCUCCA